AUUUAUCGGAGAGUUUGAUCCUGGCUCAGGACGAACGCUGGCGGCGUGCCUAAUACAUGCAAGUCGAGCGGACAGAUGGGAGCUUGCUCCCUGAUGUUAGCGGCGGACGGGUGAGUAACACGUGGGUAACCUGCCUGUAAGACUGGGAUAACUCCGGGAAACCGGGGCUAAUACCGGAUGGUUGUUUGAACCGCAUGGUUCAAACAUAAAAGGUGGCUUCGACUACCACUUACAGAUGGACCCGCGGCGCAUUAGCUAGUUGGUGAGGUAAUGGCUCACCAA
Molecule: ribosomal RNA, 282 nt
Filed under: Bacillus subtilis
Lineage: Bacteria; Bacillati; Bacillota; Bacilli; Caryophanales; Bacillaceae
Description: partial 16S ribosomal RNA
Rfam family: Bacterial small subunit ribosomal RNA
Source: RNAcentral